GACGAACGCUGGCGGCGUGCCUAAUACAUGCAAGUAGAACGCACAGUUUAUACCGUAGCUUGCUACACCAUAGACUGUGAGUUGCGAACGUGUGAGUAACGCGUAGGUAACCUGCCUGGUAGCGGGGGAUAACUAUUGGAAACGAUAGCUAAUACCGCAUAAUAUUAAUUAUUGCAUGAUAAUUGAUUGAAAGAUGCAACUGCAUCACUACCAGAUGGACCUGCGUUGUAUUAGCUAGUAGGUGAGGUAACGGCUCACCUAGGCGACGAUACAUAGCCGACCUGAGAGGGUGAUCGGCCACACUGGGACUGAGACACGGCCCAGACUCCUACGGGAGGCAGCAGUAGGGAAUCUUCGGCAAUGGACGAAAGUCUGACCGAGCAACGCCGCGUGAGUGAAGAAGGUUUUCGGAUCGUAAAGCUCUGUUGUAAGAGAAGAACGGGUGUGAGAGUGGAAAGUUCACACUGUGACGGUAUCUUACCAGAAAGGGACGGCUAACUACGUG
Molecule: ribosomal RNA, 505 nt
Filed under: uncultured bacterium
Lineage: Bacteria
Description: partial 16S ribosomal RNA
Rfam family: Bacterial small subunit ribosomal RNA
Source: RNAcentral